AAACAAUCCCAAUUGUAACUGUUUCUCAUAGGGAAAUGUUCCAACCCCUUUACGUUGCCCUUCUCUGCUCUUAUUCCACUCAAUAAUGUUCUUCUUUAAGUAUGGUAACUGAACUGUGCAUGAUAUUCCAAGUAUAAUCAUACCAAAGAUCUGUGCGGAGGAGUACAAUCCUGGCAGUUUUAUUUUCAAUUUCUUUCCUAAUUAUGCCUAGCAUGGAAUUUGCUAGGAUCCCAUCAACCUAUAAUAGAUGUUGGGAUUUUUGCCCUAUUUUUGCAUAAAUAAUAUUAAAUAGAUAAAUAAAUAAAUACAUGCAUUACUUUACACUUGCUUACACUGAACUGCAUUUGCCAUUUUGAUGCCCAUUCUUCCACUUCAAGAGAUCCCUGUGGAGCUCCUCACAAUCCCUUUUGGUUUUAAGCACCCUAAACAGUUUGAUGUCAUCAACAUCUGACCAUUUCAUUGCUUACUCCUAAUGUUAGAUCAUUUAUGAACAUUGUUCCUAAUACAGAAUCCUGCUGGACCCCACUGUUACAGCCCUCCCUUGGGAAAAAUCACCAUUUAUUCCCACUCUCUGCUUUCUGGUCUUUAACCGGUUACUGAUCUAUUAAAGGACACCCCAUCCUUAUUAUUCCAAGAUUACUCAGGAGUCUUUGCCGAGGGACUUUGCCAAAAGCCUUUUGGAAGUCCAAGUAAACAAUGUUUACCAGAUUGCCCCUGUCAACAUACUUACUGACACUCUCAAAGAACUCUAAUAGCAGGGGUUUUACAACAUCGCAAAAGAAAACAGAACCCAAAAAAGAAAAAUUACAGAAGAAGAAAGAUUGUUCAGUGAAAAGUGGACAGGUGACUGCUUUUUUGUUGAGGCAAAUAGUAAGGCACUCUGCUUACUUUGUAGGGAAUUUGUGCAAGUAUUCAAAGACUAUACUUUGAAAAGGCAUUAUAUGCAAAAACAUGCUGCAUAUCAAGGAUUGUGUCAUAAGGAAAAAUAGUGGAACUGAAAAAAGUCUGUCUUCUCAACAAUUUUUUUAAAGUUACAACUCAGACAGAUUCUAUUGUAAAAGCUAGUUAUAUGGUUGCAUAUUUAAUAGCAAAAAAAAAAGCUAAACUAUUUACUGAUAGUGAUUUUAUUAAGCAACGUAUGGAAAGUGUGGCAGAUAUAAUUUGCUCUGAAAAAAGGGGGAUAUUUCUAAAAUCAGUUUGUCUCACCAGACUAUAGCCAGGCGAAUUGAAGAAACUGGAAAAUCAAUCAAAAAAAAGUUUGGAGAGCAAAGUUGUGAAUUUUAAAUUUUAUGCUUUGGUGAUGAAUGACAGCACUCAUGCUACAAAUACAGUUCAACUUGCCAUUUUUAUUAGAGGUACUGAUGACAAAUAUAAUGUCACUGAAGAAAUGGCUUCUUUAGUGCCAUUAAAAGGCACAACUAAAUCAACAUUUAUAUGAAGCAGUAAAAAAUAUGUUAAAGUGA
Molecule: long non-coding RNA, 1463 nt
Organism: Varanus komodoensis (Komodo dragon)
Lineage: Eukaryota; Metazoa; Chordata; Lepidosauria; Squamata; Varanidae
Exons: 2
Source: RefSeq, a predicted model, not a curated record